UUCAUCUUCUUCUUCAUCUUCUUU
This 24-nucleotide small RNA is filed under the name Arabidopsis thaliana (thale cress). Its description in RNAcentral is "ATSL121830". Lineage: Eukaryota; Viridiplantae; Streptophyta; Magnoliopsida; Brassicales; Brassicaceae. The record is from RNAcentral.